RNAcentral lists this RNase P RNA (383 nucleotides) under Desulfotignum phosphitoxidans DSM 13687. Its description in RNAcentral is "Bacterial RNase P class A". It matches the Rfam family "Bacterial RNase P class A". From Rfam's summary of the family: Ribonuclease P (RNase P) is a ubiquitous endoribonuclease, found in archaea, bacteria and eukarya as well as chloroplasts and mitochondria. Its best characterised activity is the generation of mature 5'-ends of tRNAs by cleaving the 5'-leader elements of precursor-tRNAs. Cellular RNase Ps are ribonucleoproteins. Lineage: Bacteria; Pseudomonadati; Thermodesulfobacteriota; Desulfobacteria; Desulfobacterales; Desulfobacteraceae. The record is from Rfam by way of RNAcentral.
CUGACCGGACCAGAUGAUCGCCGGGUCGACCCAGUCGACCGGGAGGAAAGUCCGAACACCACAGGACAGGACGCUCCAUAACGUGGAGUCACGGUGACGUGAAGGAAAGUGCAACAGAGAGCAGACCGCCGGCAGCCCCUGGCUGUCGGUAAGGGUGAAACGGUGCGGUAAGAGCGCACCAGUUUUCCGGGUGACCGGAAAAGCUUGGUAAACCCCGUCCGGUGCAAGACCAAAUAGGGAAACGCUUGAGGGCGGUCCGUCCGAAGUUUCCGGGUAGGUUGCUUGAGGGGUACGGCAACGUACACCUUAGAUGAAUGAUCGUUGACCGGGUUUCGGGCAACCGGAUCCGGUAACAGAAUUCGGCUUACGGGCCGGUCAGGCCG